RNAcentral lists this long non-coding RNA (570 nucleotides) under Glycine max (soybean). Its description in RNAcentral is "long non-coding RNA (GMAX_LNC001292)". Lineage: Eukaryota; Viridiplantae; Streptophyta; Magnoliopsida; Fabales; Fabaceae. The record is from RNAcentral.
GAGCAAAGUUUCGUUAAUUGAAAAUUGUAGCUACAGACUACAGAGAAUCUAGGAUCAGUCCAACUACCCUCUUUGUGAUUCUUCUUAAGAAUCAACUAAAAGUGGUUACAUAAAUUAUUUUAUGUUAUACACAUGAUUUAUGGACCCCUAAUCCAAAAAGGAAUGCAUAUGUGGGAAGGUAAAUGCUGUGGCAAUAACAAUCUUUCAUUCCUUUUCCUGUUUUGCAUCUGAAUCAAGGAUUCUCAUGUACGUUUCUUGAAUUGGAAAUUCGUUAGUGAUGAUGAGGGUCUGGACCACCUGGACUGAGUCGAUUAGGCUCAUAAUAAUUAUCUGUACCUAGCAAUUGUUUCCUUAGCAAAAUUUCCUUCAGCAAUUUUGUGGCACUCCCUGCAAAUGCAUGGCUUUGAUUACUUUUUGAGAAUGUGGAAGGUAGAGGACGGGCUUCUUGGCAGAUCAGAAUUGACGUGAAGAGAAGGACAAUGCAUAAUAUUCUCAAGCUUAUUGCCAUAGGGAUAGAUAGAUAGAACAUAGAAGUAACUAAAGCCAGCCAAAAUUUUAUGUAUGGAUAGA